Molecule: ribosomal RNA, 519 nt
Filed under: uncultured bacterium
Lineage: Bacteria
Description: bacterial SSU rRNA
Rfam family: Bacterial small subunit ribosomal RNA
Source: RNAcentral
UAGAGUUUGAUCCUGGCUCAGAUUGAACGCUGGCGGCAUGCCUUACACAUGCAAGUCGAACGGUAACAGGUCUUCGGACGCUGACGAGUGGCGAACGGGUGAGUAACACAUCGGAACGUGCCCAGUCGUGGGGGAUAACUACUCGAAAGAGUAGCUAAUACCGCAUACGAUCUGAGGAUGAAAGCGGGGGACCUUCGGGCCUCGCGCGAUUGGAGCGGCCGAUGGCAGAUUAGGUAGUUGGUGGGAUAAAAGCUUACCAAGCCGACGAUCUGUAGCUGGUCUGAGAGGACGACCAGCCACACUGGGACUGAGACACGGCCCAGACUCCUACGGGAGGCAGCAGUGGGGAAUUUUGGACAAUGGGGGCAACCCUGAUCCAGCAAUGCCGCGUGUGUGAAGAAGGCCUUCGGGUUGUAAAGCACUUUUGUCCGGAAAGAAAUCGCACUUACUAAUAUUAGGUGUGGAUGACGGUACCGGAAGAAUAAGGACCGGCUAACUACGUGCCAGCAGCCCCGGUCA